RNAcentral lists this ribosomal RNA (460 nucleotides) under uncultured bacterium. Its description in RNAcentral is "partial 16S ribosomal RNA". It matches the Rfam family "Bacterial small subunit ribosomal RNA", at positions 338 to 795 of the family's 1533-position model. The record is from RNAcentral.
CCUACGGGUGGCUGCAGUGAGGAAUAUUGGUCAAUGGACGAGAGUCUGAACCAGCCAAGUAGCGUGAAGGAUGACUGCCCUAUGGGUUGUAAACUUCUUUUAUAUGGGAAUAAAAUGUUCCACGUGUGGGAUUUUGUAUGUACCAUACGAAUAAGGGUCGGCUAACUCCGUGCCAGCAGCCGCGGUAAUACGGAGAAUCCUAGCGUUAUCCGGCUUUAUUGGGUUUAACGGGAGCGUAGGGGGAUUGUUAAGGCAGUUGUGAAAGUUUGCGGCUCAACCAGAACAUUGCAGUUGAAACUGGAAGUCGUGAGUACAGAACAGGCGGGCGGAAUUCGUGGUGUAGCGGUGAAAUGCUUAGAUAUCACGAAGAACUCCGAUUGCGAAGGCAGCCCAUUGGACUGCAACUGACACUGAGGCUCGAAGGUGUGGGUAUCAAACAGGAUUAGAGACCCCAGUAGUC